Bacillus cereus VD196 is the source of this 63-nucleotide non-coding RNA. NCBI's taxonomy places the organism in Bacteria, Bacillati, Bacillota, Bacilli, Caryophanales, Bacillaceae. The record is from Rfam.
UCCUCGGAGUGUUAUAAUCAAACGAAAGUAGCUUCGGUAAAAUCGAACACGUAGAACAGGGAA